CCUACGGGAGGCAGCAGUGGGGGAUAUUGCGCAAUGGGGGGAACUCUGACGCAGCGACGCCGCGUGGGUGAAGAAGGGCUUCGGCUUGUAAAGCCCUGUCGGCAGGGAAGAAAUUGACGGUACCUUAGGAAGAAGCUCCGGCUAACUACGUGCCAGCAGCCGCGGUAAUACGUAGGGAGCAAGCGUUAUCCGGAUUUACUGGGUGUAAAGGGUGCGUAGACGGGAAAGUAAGCUAGUGGUGAAAUCCCUGGGCUUAACCCCGGAACUGCCAUUAGAACUGAGUGGCUUGAGUGCAGGAGGGGAAAGCGGAAUUCCUGGUGUAGCGGUGAAAUGCGUAGAUAUCAGGAGGAACACCGGUGGCGAAGGCGGCCUGCUGGACAGUAACUGACGUUGAGGCCCGAAAGCGUGGGGAGCAAACAGGAUUAGAUACCCUUGUAGUC
Molecule: ribosomal RNA, 440 nt
Filed under: uncultured bacterium
Lineage: Bacteria
Description: partial 16S ribosomal RNA
Rfam family: Bacterial small subunit ribosomal RNA
Source: RNAcentral